GCUAUAUACUGCAGAUUCAUUUGAGGAAGUUGCGAGGAACACAUUUGUACACAAGCCUUCUUCUGACAUGACCGCAAACAAGAGUGGGCCGUCUAAGAGCGCCGCAGAGAAGGCCGCGUCCACAGCGGCCGUAGCGCAGCUGCAGGGCGAGGUCUGCAAGAUGCAGUCUCUGCUCACAGAGCUCGUCACCAUAAAGAAGCAGAUCUCUGACCUGGGGGCCUGUCAGCAUCCCUGUGAUGAGGUCGCAGAGAGGCUCAGCCAGCUCUCUGAUGACCU
This is a long non-coding RNA of Hyalella azteca, 276 nucleotides long. RefSeq lists it as uncharacterized. The transcript is spliced from 3 exons. The record is from RefSeq and is a predicted model, not a curated record. Lineage: Eukaryota; Metazoa; Arthropoda; Malacostraca; Amphipoda; Hyalellidae.